GAUGAAGAACGCAGCGAAAUGCGAUAAGUAAUGUGAAUUGCAGAUUUCAGUGAAUCAUCGAAUCUUUGAACGCACCUUGCGCCUUGUGGUAUUCCACAAGGCAUGCCCGUUUGAGUAUCAUUAAAUCAUCAACUCUAAAAACUUUGUGUUUUUUUGAGCUUGGUCUUGAGGGUUUUUUGCAGGCGGUUCCGUCUGCUCCCUUUAAAUGCAUUAGCGAGACUUCCCUGUGCUUAACCGUCUCUUUGACGUGAUAAUUAUCUACGUUGAAUUUGGUUCUCGUUGGGCUUGCUUCUAACCGUCCGUGAUUUUGGACAAACCAGGAUUUGGGUGCAUAUAUGCGCCUUUUUUCUAAACCUUUUUUGAUCUCAAAUCGGGUAGGACUACCCGCUGAACUUAAGCAUAUCAAUAAGCGGAGGA
RNAcentral lists this unclassified non-coding RNA (417 nucleotides) under soil metagenome. Its description in RNAcentral is "partial contains 5.8S ribosomal RNA, internal transcribed spacer 2, and large subunit ribosomal RNA". The stretch from base 1 to 120 matches the Rfam family "5.8S ribosomal RNA", at positions 35 to 154 of the family's 154-position model. The record is from RNAcentral.